CCAGCAGCCGCGGUAAUUCCAGCUCCAAUAGCGUAUAUUUAAGUUGUUGCAGUUAAAAAGCUCGUAGUUGGAUUUCGGGCGGGUGACGGCGGUCCGCCUCUGGUGUGCACUGCUGCUCAUCCGCCUUACUGUCGGGGACGGGCUCCUGGGCUUCACUGUCCGGGACCCGGGUUCGACAUGGUUACUUUGAGUAAAUUAGAGUGUUCAAAGCAGGCGUUCGCCCUGAAUACAUUAGCAUGGAAUAGCACGAUAGGACUCUGGCCUAUUCUGCUGGUCUGUAGGACCGGAGUAAUGAUUAAUAGAGACAGGCGGGGCUAUUCGUAUUGCAUUGUCAGAGGUGAAAUUCUUGGAUUUCUGCAAGACGAACUACUGCGAAAGCAUUUAGCAAGGAUGUUUUCAUUAAUCAAGAACGAAAGU
RNAcentral lists this ribosomal RNA (417 nucleotides) under uncultured eukaryote. RNAcentral describes it as "SSU rRNA". It matches the Rfam family "Eukaryotic small subunit ribosomal RNA", at positions 567 to 990 of the family's 1831-position model. The record is from RNAcentral.